AGUAAUUAUUUGUUGGUUUUGUAAUGAUUUGUUAUUAUCACAAAUAGUUGAGAAUUUUUAUAUUUAUAAUCGGACGCGAGGGCUGAAGAACCUUCGACGCUUGCGCGAUUUCUCUAGCGCGGGAAAGCAAAGUGUUGGUCUGUACACUACAGAUUCAACUGGCAGCUGUAACAGACGGUUCGCAAACGCACUUGACAGUGCGUGAGACGCACUAGCAGCAUGACAAAUGGUGAUGUGGAGAGGUUUCAGCACGAACAAGAAAAAAUUUGCCAAUCGUUGACAACUGAAUAUGUCGUGAAUAAUGUGACGGAUCGAUGCCCACCAUCAUUUGAUGGACUUCUUUGCUGGCCAAGUACGGUUGCCAAUGCAACUGCUGUACUGUCAUGUCCUCCACGUGCUGUUCUUGGAUAUGAGAAUCCUAACAAUGGCACAUCGACGAAACAAUGUCUCCCAGGGGGUAACUGGUACAAUAAUUCGCUUGGAAUCACUUGGAGCAAUUAUACCCUCUGCACACCACCCCCUGGUUACAUCGUCACAGCCGUUGAAAGUAUCGAGAUCACUCACUCCGAGUUGGCGAAGACACACAACUCAACUGUUCUAAUUAAAUGGGUACCAAUAAUAAAAACAAUUGCAAAGGUCGGUUAUGCUUCAUCAAUGACAACGUUAAUAAUCGCCCUGAUAAUUUUUUUACUUCUGAGAAAACUUCGGAAUCAUCGAAAUCGCCUACAUAUGCAUUUGUUCGUAUCCUUCAUCAUGAGAGCAUUCAUGGCACUCCUCAAAGAUCGGCUGAUCAUAAACGGUAUCGGUUCCACUUGGAACAUUGUUCUUGGUGAGGGAAAAAGCACAUUCAUCACGGAAAAACAUAUAUGGGUGUGCAAAGUAAUCACAAGCGCUUGGCAAUACUUCAUCGUUGCUAAUUACGCCUGGAUCUUCAUGGAGGGACUAUAUCUACAUAAUCUCAUUUUCCUCGCAUUCUGCGCUGACACAUCUGCAAUAACUGUGUAUAUAAUCCUCGGUUGGGGAUUACCCGCAAUUGUAGUUGGGGUAUGGGUUGUCAUACGACUUUUGAUGGAAGAUACGCUCUGCUGGACGACCCAUAAUAAUCCUUACUACUUUUUAAUCAUUCGAAUUCCCAUCGUAGUGUCUAUUCUGUUGAACUUCAUUCUUUUCCUAAAUAUCGUGAGAGUAUUAUUAAUAAAAAUGAAGACAUCUGUGCAUUUACAACGAAAAAAAAUGCAUUAUGGAGAUAUAGCUCGCGAAAAGAAGUGGGCGAAGUCAACCCUGGUAUUGGUUCCCCUCUUCGAAGCCCAUUAUACUAUUUUUUUAGGAUUAUCUUACCACGACGACCAUAAAAUUGAACUUAUCUGGCUGUUUUGUGAUCAACUAUUCGCUUCGUUCCAGUCGCGUUUAUAGGAGAAUCGCGGCUUUUCCACGAACAUCCCUACUCCCCAACAUGAUGUUGAAUAAAAUCAUUUGAACCUUUGUACUGAGAUUCGGAGGACAAAAGAAAGUGAUAAGGGGGCCGAGAGUGGGUGGCAACGAUCCAGGGUCAUUGUGACCGUAAAGCAACACUUCACGCAUAUUUCUUGCUUCACUUGCUCUGAAUAGCGAUGUUCGGGUUCCCGGAUGUGCACUAUUCUAUGUCCCGGGACCAUAAACCUAUUAUUUAGCUGUUCGAGAAAGAUUACAUAAACGUAAAAAAAAAUGUCUUGGAUCUUCGGAAAUUUGUAGUAAACAUCAAUUCUUGAAACUCCUCCGCAAUUGGAUGUUUUGUCGCUCUCCUGUAUUGUUUGAUGAACGGUGAAGUUCGAGCUGAGAUGAGACGAGCCUGGAGGGCCCAGCGAUCCCGACGAGGAGCUGAUUCUCUCAUACUGACUCAACGAAAUUUAGGAAAAUCCGGAGAUA
Diachasmimorpha longicaudata is the source of this 1905-nucleotide RNA transcript. It is a transcript of the gene named secretin receptor-like, with no coding region annotated. The transcript has 10 exons. Lineage: Eukaryota; Metazoa; Arthropoda; Insecta; Hymenoptera; Braconidae. The record is from RefSeq and is a predicted model, not a curated record.